Molecule: unclassified non-coding RNA, 193 nt
Filed under: uncultured Steccherinum
Lineage: Eukaryota; Fungi; Basidiomycota; Agaricomycetes; Polyporales; Steccherinaceae
Description: sequence contains ITS1
Source: RNAcentral
AUGAAUGAAAUUGAGUGGGGUUGUAGCUGGCCUUCUACCGGGCAUGUGCACACCUCAUUCAACCACCUUCUACACCUCUGUGCACUUCUCAUGAGUUGGGCCGCGUCUGAAAUAUGACAAAGUCCGGCUUGUGUGUUUUAUACAAACGAAUCAUGUUAUAGAAUGUCACUAUCAUGCUUUGAAGCAUAUAAUA